AGUGAACGCUGGCGGUAGGCCUAACACAUGCAAGUCGAACGGCAGCACAGUAAGAGCUUGCUCUUACGGGUGGCGAGUGGCGGACGGGUGAGGAAUACAUCGGAAUCUACUUUUUCGUGGGGGAUAACGUAGGGAAACUUACGCUAAUACCGCAUACGACCUACGGGUGAAAGCAGGGGAUCUUCGGACCUUGCGCGUUUGAAUGAGCCGAUGUCGGAUUAGCUAGUUGGCGGGGUAAAGGCCCACCAAGGCGACGAUCCGUAGCUGGUCUCAGAGGAUGAUCAGCCACACUGGAACUGAGACACGGUCCAGACUCCUACGGGAGGAAGCAGUGGGGAAUAUUGGACAAGGGGCGCAAGCCUGAUCCAGCCAUACCGCGUGAGUGAAGAAGGCCUUAGGGUUGGAAAACCCUUUUGUUGGGAAAGAAAAGCAGCAGUUUAAUCCCCCGCUGUUCUGACGGUACCCAAAGAAUAAGCACCGGCUAACUUCGUG
Molecule: ribosomal RNA, 492 nt
Filed under: uncultured bacterium
Lineage: Bacteria
Description: partial 16S ribosomal RNA
Rfam family: Bacterial small subunit ribosomal RNA
Source: RNAcentral